Molecule: transfer RNA, 77 nt
Filed under: Anaerolineae bacterium
Lineage: Bacteria; Bacillati; Chloroflexota; Anaerolineae
Also listed under: 1 other name
Description: tRNA-Trp
Rfam family: tRNA
About the family: Transfer RNA (tRNA) molecules are approximately 80 nucleotides in length.
Source: RNAcentral
AGGCCAGUAGCUCAAUUUGGUAGAGCAACGGUCUCCAAAACCGUAGGUUGCGGGUUCGAGUCCUGCCUGGCCUGCCU